This is a small nuclear RNA of Argiope bruennichi, 104 nucleotides long. The record is from RefSeq and is a predicted model, not a curated record. Lineage: Eukaryota; Metazoa; Arthropoda; Arachnida; Araneae; Araneidae.
GUCAUUUUUGCAGUAUAUGUACUAAAACUGAGGCAAUGCAUUGAAAUUUAGCAUGAUCCCUGCGCAAGGAUGACAUUUAAAAUUAUGAAGCCUUCCUCAUUUUU